CCUACGGGGGGCAGCAGUGAGGAAUAUUGGUCAAUGGACGAGAGUCUGAACCAGCCAAGUAGCGUGAAGGAUGACUGCCCUAUGGGUUGUAAACUUCUUUUAUAAAGGAAUAAAACGAGGCACGUGUGCCUUUUUGCAUGUACUUUAUGAAUAAGGAUCGGCUAACUCCGUGCCAGCAGCCGCGGUAAUACGGAGGGUCCGAGCGUUAUCCGGAUUUAUUGGGUUUAAAGGGCGCGUAGAUGGGUUUUUAAGUCAGUUGUGAAAGUUUGCGGCUCAACCGUAAAAUUGCAAUUGAUACUGGCAGGCUGGAGUACAGUUGAGGUAGGCGGAAUUCGUGGUGUAGCGGUGAAAUGCUUAGAUAUCACGAAGAACCCCGAUUGCGAAGGCAGCUUACUAAACUGUGACUGACAUUGAUGCUCGAAAGUGUGGGUAUCAAACAGGAUUAGAUACCCUUGUAGUC
This 460-nucleotide ribosomal RNA is filed under the name uncultured bacterium. Its description in RNAcentral is "partial 16S ribosomal RNA". It matches the Rfam family "Bacterial small subunit ribosomal RNA", at positions 338 to 795 of the family's 1533-position model. The record is from RNAcentral.